ACUCUGAUCAGAUGUGGUGAGACACUGGAUUUAAGCAUUUUACUCAGCCGAGGAAAAUAAACUAGCCAGGAUUCCCCCAAUAAUUGUAAGAGAAGAGGGAGGAGGACAGUGUCAAAUCCCCACACGCCAGUGGGCACAAAAAAUGUGGCACAUAGUAGACCGACACCCUUGUGUCUCUCAUACGGCCAAGUCAUUCUGCUAGAGGACUUCCCCAUGGAUGGUGUUAAGCCGGUAGCAACCCCCGGCAUGCUGGGAUCUGGUCUUCGCAGAGUAAGGCUGCUUUGGAAUGCAACCCAAAGUGGAUGGUAAACUCGAUCUUGGGCCAAAUAUAGGCGGGAGAUCAAUAUCCAACAAGUACCAUGAAGUAAAGUAGCAGAUAACUUUUAGGAGUGAAUUCAAGAGGCAGUGAAACCAUCAAGAAGUAAAUGGGUGUGGUCCACGCAUUCCGCCUGGAGGAUUCAACAUGGCAGGCUGGUUGGUCACCAGGAAUGCUGGAUCACAUGGCGGGAUCACCGCCCAAGCACAUCUGGCCCCUACUCCAUGAUGGUGCACCGCAUCUGGCUCCAGGUCGUCUGGGAAAGGCCUGGAGUUGUGGUGGCUCUCUCCUCAGGCAGAGAGUGUUACAAGCCCCUGAAAGUGGUUAGGCCAGUCCGCAGGGCCAAGGGUGAUUGGUCACUGCUGCUCAUCUGGCAACCAUCCAGGUCCCUCUCGGUGGUCGCCAGGGCAGUGAAGGGGGACAGGGCUCAUCUUCUCCAAUGUUCAAAUGUGAACUGUGGUAGACUUUCAUUUGUGUGCCUGGACCACAUUGAACCACCAUGUGGGGAGUCUAAUGAAUGGCACCACACAUCCCUCUCGGUGUUCGCCAGGGCAGUGAAGGGGGACAGGGCUCCAAUGUUCAAAUGUGAACUGUGGUGGACUUUCAUUUGUGUGCCCGGACCACAUUGCACGGUCUAACGAAUGGCACCACGGGUCUGCAGUGAAACACGGACCUAGGAGUCUAACGCAAACGCUGCAUGUACCUGCUGAGGUGGGAUCCCAAUGCGGCAUCGCCACGGGCAGACCACCAGCCCGUUUUGCGCACUCUGUUGGGGAGGUGGUAGAUAUGAAUGUGUGUGAUAGGAUCAGUAAGGCAGAGAAGCAUGCUUGGGCAGGGCAGUGCCAGAGUUAUAGGAGCGAAAGACUAAUCAAAGCAUCUAGUAGCUGGUUCCCUCUGAGGUUUCCCUCCAGAUAGCUGGCACUCGAAAACACCAGUUUCAUAUGGUAAAAAAAGUGAUGAGGUGUCUUGGGGCCAAAACAAUCUCAACCAAUUCUCAAACUUUUACAUGGUGAGAAGCCCAGCUCGCUUGCUUGGAGUCGGGCAAGACUGGCAGUGCCGACUGGGCCACUUCUGGUAAGCAGAACUGGAGCUGUGGGAUGAACCAAACAAUGAGUUGAGACAAUGCAAUGCACAUCAGACCCCAGUAAAAAUGUUGGUUGUAAUUGACAGAAUGAUGGUGGCCCUGGAAGUCAGAAUUCACUAAUGAGUUUGUAAAAACUCACCAGCUGAAUUAAGUAGCCCUACAUAUGGAAGGCACUGGAGUGUCAGGCCCAUACACGGUCAUUACCAGUGCCACAAGCUGAGGGGGCUUAGCCAAGAUGUGUAGGAGAGCUGCUGCACUGCGCCCAGAAUCCUAGGGAGAGGGCCCAGGUGGAGCCACCACAGGUGCAGUUCUUGGCGGUGGUACCAAAUAUUCAAAUGAGAACUUUGAAGGCCGAAGUGGGGUAGGAUUCCAUGUGAACAGCAUUUGGACAUAGGUCAGUCGUUGCUAAGAGAUGAGCGAGUGCCAUUCGGAAGGGACGGACAAUGGCCUCCGUUGCCCUCAGCCAAUCGAAAGGAAGUCAGGUUCAGAUGCCUGAAACCACAGUGUCAUAGACGGGUGCACCCGUGGCAUCCAGUGCAGUAACACAAAUACUCCCGGAGAAGCUUGCAGGAGCCCCAGGGAGAGUUAUCUUUUCUUUGUGAAUGACAGGGCACCCUGCAAUGGGUUUGCACCAAAAGAGGGGCCCAAGCCUUAGAAAGCUUUGCAGUUCUGGCGGUUUCCAGUGAGCUCUCACUGGAGUGAUGGUGUGAAUCACAUGCCGGGUCAUACCCAUCUCCACAGCUGGUCUCCAAGGUGUACAGCCUCUUUCAUGUUGGAACAAUGUAGCUAAGGGAAGUCGGCAAGUCGGAUCUGGAACUUUGGCAUGUGGAUUGACUCUAAGGUCUGGGUUGUUCUUGCUGUGGUGCAAAGCAGGUUUGGGCGGGCACCUUGGCUGAAUGAGGCAUCUCACUCCAGGGGGCUGCAGUGACAUGCUCUGGGCCCUUCCUGUGAAUGACCCCACCUGCAGUGGUGGCCUCUGUCUGUUCCCUUCCUGAGGUCCAGAAUUGUGCCUCACCCAAUGCCUAGCAGCUAUCUUAGAACCGGUGCAGACCAGGGGAAUCCGACUGUUUAAGUUCAACUAAGCAUUGUGAAGGCCCACAGCAGGUGUUGACGUAAUGUGAUUUCUGGCCAGUGCUCUGCAUUUAAAAGUGUAGUGAUUGUAUUUUAUUGUAUUGUAGUGAAAGAAGCGCGGGUAAACAGCAGGAGUAACUAUGGCUCCAAUUUCGAUUUGACGGUGAUGGGCAGCAAUAGUAACCCAGAAAGAGCCACUUCACAAAAGUGGUACAAAUAGCCAAAUGCCUCGUCAUCUAAUUAGUGACAUGCAUGAAUGGAUGAAAGAGAUUCCCACUGUCCCUACCUAAUGUGUAGCAAAAUCACAGCCCAGGGUAUGGACUUAACAGGAUCAGCAGAAAAAGGAGACCCUUUUGAGCUUGACUCUAGUCUGGCACUGUGAAGAGACGUGAGAGGGAUAGGAUAAGUGGGAGGCCCUCAGGCUCCGGUGACAUACCACUACUAAAACUCCUUAUUACACUUGCCCAGGGAGGAUGGGUGCAAGCCCUGUGGAGCUCUCUCUUCUGGCUGCUGGGCACAAACUGCUCCGGGGACAGUGGCAGGUGGGGAGUGUGACUGGGACAUACUUGUUUCAAAUGGCAAUGCAGGUGUCCUAAGGCCUGCUGAGGGAGGACAGAAACCUCCAGCAUAGCAGAAGGUCAAAUGCUUGCGUGAUGUCUAUUUUCUAUAUGAUUACAGACCAUGAAAGCAGGGUCUGAUGAUUCAUCUGACUUUUUGGGUUUCAAGCAGGCGGUGUCAGAAAAGUUACACACAGGGAUAACUAACUUGUGGCGGCCAAGUAUUCAUAGUGACACUGCUUUUUGAUCUUUCAAUGCUGUCUCUUCCUAUCAUUGUGAAGCAGAAUUCACCAAGCGUCGGUUUGUUCAGCCACAAAUAGGGAACGUGAGCCGGGUUUACCCAGUCAUGAGACAGGUUGGUUUUACCCUACCCAUGAUUUAUAAUUGCAAUUUUAACCCUGCUCAGUACAAGAGGAACCACAGGUUCUGUGCUUGGCUGAGGAGCCAAUGGGGUGAAGCUACCAUCUGUGGGGUUGUGAUUGGACACUUCUAAGUCAGAAUCCCACGAAACAGCAACAAUACCGCAUUACUGUGGAGCCUUGGUUGUCCUACGAUAGCCGGCCUCUGGGCCAGUGCAUAGAGCUGCUUCCCUCUGGGCUCGAGUGUGGACAGAAGGGGGCCAUCUCUCUCACCUAUGGUGCACUGCAUGUUGGUGGGGAACCUGGUGCUAAAUCAUUAAUAACAAACAGAUUCUGGGUCAGGAUU
This 3733-nucleotide ribosomal RNA is filed under the name Ambystoma mexicanum (axolotl). Its description in RNAcentral is "eukaryotic LSU rRNA". It matches the Rfam family "Eukaryotic large subunit ribosomal RNA". The record is from RNAcentral. Lineage: Eukaryota; Metazoa; Chordata; Amphibia; Caudata; Ambystomatidae.